Lathyrus oleraceus (garden pea) is the source of this 676-nucleotide long non-coding RNA. RefSeq lists it as uncharacterized. NCBI's taxonomy places the organism in Eukaryota, Viridiplantae, Streptophyta, Magnoliopsida, Fabales, Fabaceae. The transcript has 3 exons. The record is from RefSeq and is a predicted model, not a curated record.
UUCCCUUGCAUUUUUUAUUUUCGUCACAUCGAUAUGCAGCGAUGAAUGAUUAACGUGCAAUUUUGCGGUAAAAUUUUGUUGUUCUUUUUCCUUGGCGUUUUUGAUUUUCGUCAUAUUGCUUUGCAGGAAUCAAUGUCGCGCAAAUUCGACAACGUUGUUGAUAUCAAUGAUUCGAAGGAGACAUGACGUCUUGUUGUUCGUAUUCUUGAUCUAUGGAGCGUUGUUAAUAGCAAGAGUAUAGAACACCUAGAAAUGAUUGUGAUCGAAUUCAACCACACCGCAAAGUGGAAACAAAUGUUGAAAGAAGAUAUGACUUGCAUAAUAAAUAAUGGUAAUGUAUAUGAUAAUGACUUUCAAUGGAAAUGUUUGUUUUCCUAAGUGGUACAACUGUGAAGUCCAUUGAGCUUGGCAGUAUUCCCCCUAAAAAGUUUUUCUUCAAAGAAUUUUCUGAAAUCCUUCAAGGAGAUUGUAAAGUUGAGAGACUUGAAGGUGUUGUCCACGAAAUUAACAAUUAUUAGUCGAAGUCAGACAUGAAGAAAAUUGUGGUUUCUUUGAGAAUUAGGGAUUUGGGGUAAAUUUGUUAUAUUCUGUAUCAUUUAAUACAUUUAUAUAUUGAAGUUGCAUAAUUUUAAACUUUCUUCAAAAUUAUGUAUAGGGGCAAUAAUAUAAUAUGAAG